RNAcentral lists this transfer RNA (82 nucleotides) under Trametopsis cervina. Its description in RNAcentral is "tRNA-Asp". It matches the Rfam family "tRNA". Rfam says of the family: Transfer RNA (tRNA) molecules are approximately 80 nucleotides in length. Their secondary structure includes four short double-helical elements and three loops (D, anti-codon, and T loops). Lineage: Eukaryota; Fungi; Basidiomycota; Agaricomycetes; Polyporales; Irpicaceae. The record is from RNAcentral.
UCCCUGGUAGUAUAUCGGUUAGUACACGCGCCUGUCACUUUGCGGUGCGCGCGAAAGCGGGGUUCGACUCCCCGCCAGGGAG